GACGAACGCUGGCGGCGUGCCUAAUACAUGCAAGUAGAACGCUGAAGGAGGAGCUUGCUCUUCUGGACGAGUUGCGAACGGGUGAGUAACGCGUAGGUAACCUGCCUGGUAGCGGGGGAUAACUAUUGGAAACGAUAGCUAAUACCGCAUAAGAGUAGAUGUUGCAUGACAUUUGCUUAAAAGGUGCAAUUGCAUCACUACCAGAUGGACCUGCGUUGUAUUAGCUAGUUGGUGGGGUAACGGCUCACCAAGGCGACGAUACAUAGCCGACCUGAGAGGGUGAUCGGCCACACUGGGACUGAGACACGGCCCAGACUCCUACGGGAGGCAGCAGUAGGGAAUCUUCGGCAAUGGACGGAAGUCUGACCGAGCAACGCCGCGUGAGUGAAGAAGGUUUUCGGAUCGUAAAGCUCUGUUGUAAGAGAAGAACGAGUGUGAGAGUGGAAAGUUCACACUGUGACGGUAUCUUACCAGAAAGGGACGGCUAACUACGUG
Molecule: ribosomal RNA, 495 nt
Filed under: uncultured bacterium
Lineage: Bacteria
Description: partial 16S ribosomal RNA
Rfam family: Bacterial small subunit ribosomal RNA
Source: RNAcentral